UGAACCUGGCACUUCGAUUGGGCCCUCUGUCGGAUGCCAUCAGUGUCGCUCCCAGAGUCCCUCGUAUCCCUUUUAUGACUCAUGUGUAUUCUUCCCCUGAUGUCGUCGUGUCUUCACUUCCCUCGGCCUGAAAUUCUUCUUUGGAGGACUGCCCUCAGACUAUGGGGCUGCUUCUCCCGGAACCCCGGACAGCUGGAGGAGUGUGGAUCUCUUUGGCAUCAUCAAAAGCCAUGAUGACUCUUCCUUCUGAAAUGAUUGAGGACACUUUCUUGCUGGAGCCCAGGAGGGGCUGAGAGUGAAGAUGUCCCUGAGUUCUCCAGUUCUAGCUCAGCUUUGUCACUCCUGAGAGCUUCCGGCUAUUGGCGAACCCUCCAAAAAACAUUAAAUUUACUUUGAUGCAAUGUAGUUUAAGCUCAUAUUGAAGGAAAAAAUUGUUGCUUGAUUA
Molecule: long non-coding RNA, 445 nt
Organism: Canis lupus familiaris (dog)
Lineage: Eukaryota; Metazoa; Chordata; Mammalia; Carnivora; Canidae
Exons: 2
Source: RefSeq, a predicted model, not a curated record